RNAcentral lists this ribosomal RNA (465 nucleotides) under uncultured bacterium. Its description in RNAcentral is "partial 16S ribosomal RNA". It matches the Rfam family "Bacterial small subunit ribosomal RNA", at positions 28 to 507 of the family's 1533-position model. The record is from RNAcentral.
GACGAACGCUGGCGGCGUGCUUAACACAUGCAAGUCGAACGGAAAGGCCCUGCUUGCCGGGUACUCGAGUGGCGAACGGGUGAGUAACACGUGGGUGAUCUGCCCUGCACUUCGGGAUAAGCCUGGGAAACUGGGUCUAAUACCGGAUAGGAGCCAUUUUUAGUGUGAUGGUUGGAAAGUUUUUUCGGUGUAGGAUGAGCUCGCGGCCUAUCAGCUUGUUGGUGGGGUAAUGGCCUACCAAGGCGGCGACGGGUAGCCGGCCUGAGAGGGUGGACGGCCACAUUGGGACUGAGAUACGGCCCAGACUCCGACGGGAGGCAGCAGUGGGGAAUAUUGCACAAUGGGCGCAAGCCUGAUGCAGCGACGCCGCGUGGGGGAUGACGGCCUUCGGGUUGGAGACUCCUUUCGCUAGGGACGAAGCUUUUUGUGACGGUACCUAGAUAAGAAGCACCGGCUAACUACGUG